RNAcentral lists this long non-coding RNA (6270 nucleotides) under Heterocephalus glaber (naked mole-rat). RNAcentral describes it as "lncRNA (ENSHGLG00100033638.1)". Lineage: Eukaryota; Metazoa; Chordata; Mammalia; Rodentia; Bathyergidae. The record is from RNAcentral.
GUAUGAUCCAGGCUCAGCUCUGGCUUAAUGCGUGAUAUCUUAGGGGAAGAGAGGGGUGUCUGAUGCAAUUAUUUGCAAAGUUGCGGAGGUGUUUUGGCUCACAGCAACCUUAAUUUUCUUAGUAGAAAAUUUUAAUUUUUAAAGAAGACUGUCACAGGAGUACACGCUGUAUAAUUCUAGUGUAUGAACCAAGGACAAUGUUUUGGGUAGAAAAUGGGGAUUUAUGUUAUGGGUACAUAUAAAACCGCGACCAUGGGCAUGUGUCUGUGAAAUAAACAAGGUGUGCAAGGGCACGUGAUGGGUGGUCCCAGAGGCUUUUCCGUGAUUAUUCACCCACCCGGGACUCGUUCCUUUCCUUUGCCAUCUGUGGGUUCUCACAAGAGAUAGACAGAGCUGCUUGUGCCAAAGGUUUAACAAAAAUUGGUGGCAAAAACUUCACAUUGAGAAAAUUGUAUCUUCGAGCAGUUUAAACAAGGCUUUAUUCUUCUGUUUUCAUGAAGGAACGUUUCUUUCCAACUGAUGGAACUUCUGAGGGCCCCUGCAGGGUGGGGAGGGCCAGGCUGGGUGCUGGGGUGCCCAGGGAGUUGUGUAGGGACCGUGCCUUGCAGAUCUGAGCAACUUGGGUCUGGUUCUUUGAGCACGAGGGAGCCUCAGUGAGUUCUAGAGGAGGGAGGUGACCAGCGGAAAGGGGAAAUUUGGGAAAGACAAAUCUGAUGACUGGGGACUGGGCUGAAGCACAUCAGAAUGAAAGAGCAGAGAACUGGACUGAAGAGAUGGGGGACUGGAAGAAAAAAGUUCUUCAGACAUCUCCUCAUCCUGGCCCAGAACUCCUCAGAGGGCAGAGAGCAAGACCGGGUCACGGGAAGAGCAGGGAGGGCCGUCUGUGGGGUCUGUGGGCUCCGGGCAAACGACCGGAUCCACGCAGCACGUCCUGCUGCUCGGAUAGGGGAGGGAGGAGACUGAUGGCCCCACAGUCCGGGGAGGGGGUGGGAGCAGGCGGGGCUCAUAUUUGCUCCUUUCCUGACCCUCCCUCCCCACUUCCAAGUCAUCUUGGGAUUUCUUCCAAAAGUCCCUUAUCACCGCUGAUCACAGUGGCGAUCUGUCCGGGCCGUUGCCAGCCGGAGCCUACAUCUACUAAGUCCAGUGCCCACAAGUAGCAGAAUCCUGGCUGUUAAGUUACAUUUGUUAUUUUAAAGGACUGUGCCUUACUCGUCAGGGAGUGGGGUCGGAAGGAAGUAAAGAUUGUUCUUUCCGCAGGCAGACCUGCCUAUUAUGAUACUUUGAACAACAUCUGAAUUUAUAGCCUAAUCCCAAUCAGAGAGGUUUCAGAUACUUAAUAACCUCACUUUUGUUUUAUGCAGUUUUCCAAAAAAUUAUUUGGUUUUGUUGCUAUUGUUAUAAUCAGUCUUCUUAAUUCACACAAACAGGGAGUUUGGUCUUUGAAAAGUCUCCUUAAAAAUUUUCAAAUUACAAAAUCAUUAUGUACCCACUGCGUACAAUUAAGAAAAUACAAAAAAAGAUUAAAAAUAAACUAGCAAGCAUCCAUCAUCCUAGAAAUGAAUACCGUUAACAUUUAAACAUAUUUCCUCCUUGUCUUUUUUCUUCCCUGUUUUACAUAAUGGAGUGUUUUUUUUUUUUUUUUUAAUAUAUAAUUUUGCAUUUUUGCCUUGCCUUAUUUCAUAGGCAUGCCUCCAGGGGAUUAAAUACUCUUUAUAACUCCAUUUUUAAGAUUUGCCUAAUAUGUCUUUUAUUGGCUAUAAUAUCAUUUUCUUGUUUCCCUGGUGUUCAGUAUUAUGCUGUUCCCAAUUCGCUACUGAGGACAUGCUUUGAGCACGCGUUUGUGUACAAGUUCGCGUAGGUCUGAUUGUAGGUCUGGCCAGACUCUACUGCCUGUUUCAGAGGAGGGUGAGAUGGUCCCUCUGUCACUGUGAAUGACAUGGGUCAGUCAAAGGGAGGAGUGCACUGUCAAUCUGGGUUUUGGUAAGAGGAGGUAACAGCGGGUACAGGAAUGUUGUAAACACAGUAGAGAGGUCUUGCAAAUCCACUUUGUCAUGGAGGAACCUAAGAGGAAACAGAGGUUUUCAAAAAACCUUUUGAAUGGAUUGGGUUAGCAUUGUGUGGUUUUAAAUCUAAAUCACUCAUAAGAAAAAAAUUGGGGCUCUAAUGAGGUAGAGAAUAGCAGUUACUCUGAAUAACAAACUAGCAGGAAUGUUAAUGUUAUUCCUGAAGUUCCAGGCUAGCUGGCUUCCGGGUGAAGCUGUUCCCCACAUUAAUAGAGGAGAUUUGAGGUCUCAAAACAGAAUUCUGACCCUGGCUAGGCCACGGUGGGCAAGCUACUGGGCUUCUCCAAGCCUCAGAUGCACCACUUACAAAAUAGAUGAUGACACUAAUAUUUGUCACCUGCAGUUUGUUGAGAGAAUUGAAACACACACUAAAGGUCAGUACGAGGCGCUAAGGCUGGGACCUAAAGGAUGGCUGAGUUUUUUUGUUUUUGUUUAGUGGUGCUGGGGAUCCAACCCAGGGCCUCAAGCAUGCUAGGCAAGUGCACUGCCACUGAGUUCCACCCCCCAGCUCGUAGACCUGAAUUCGAAAUAGGUGUACCUGGGCCCAGGACAGCUCCACAGACUUGAGGACUCAGCAUUCUCACAGGACAUGGAAAUGAAGGGGGAAUCUUGGGUUAUAUUUUAAAAUCCACUGCAGGGAUCUUAAACCAGUUUUCUUUAGGCGUUUGUGCAUAUCGGCUUUCCAUGAGGGAGAGCUCAGCGCUCUGUUUUUGUUGUUUUGCCUCAGUGCUGGGCUAAGGGGCCGAUGAGAUACUAUGUUUCUUGCCGAAGCUUGAACCCUACAAUCAAAUGCCAGGCUGGAUUCCCAAACAAGUGUAUCUGAUGACAGCCUAUUAUGGAAGGCUCAGAACUUCUAAGAAUUCUUUAGUAGGAAACAAACAAAACACAAAGACCGCUUCCCAAUUCCCUGUGACUUGGAAUUUAUUUUUAUCUCUUACUUCAACCAUUGCGCGUGUUUGUUAAAGGUACACAGGAUCCAUGGUUUAUGAUACUUGCGUGGACAGAUGGCUAGUGUUGAGGGGCCAGGGACAGGACACUGCUCAACACCCACAUCUCAGGGAGCCGAGCAUCUCCCUUGUUGGUGAAAUGUGGGCAUGGAGUAAAGGUUUCUGGCGUGAAUGUCUGUGUUUUCAGAUCACAGGUUUGGCACUUUUGUGUGUAUGUGUGUGUAGUGCUAGGGAUUGAACUCAGGGUCCCUGUGUACUGAGCUACAUCCCUAGCUCUUUUUAUUUUUAUUUUGAGACAGAAUCUCUUUAAGUGGCCCAGGCCUGCCCCAAAUUUGUGAUCCUCCUGCCUCAGCCUCUGGAGUAGCUGGGAUUGCAGAUGUGUGCUACCAUUCCUGAGCUAGGCCUUGGCACUGCUGAGUAGGUAGGAUGAUGGGGAAGAGAAGCCUGGGGUGCUGGGAUUCUGACAGGCCACAGCAGGAGUUACUUACAACACUUUCAAGGGAACACUUUGUUCAGUGUUCAUUUUCCCUUCAGUCUGGGAAGGAAAGAGCUACAUUUUCUCUGCCCCACUGAAAACAUUCUAUUUUCUCAGUUCUUUGAAGUGGCCUCAGAUCUAAGUCUCAGGCUGAAGGCAGCUCUGUGUAUCUUUGCAACAGAUUAGAACAUAUUAACAUUUUAUUUGCUCACAGAACAAAUAUUUUCCUUGGAAUGAGACCCAGGUGGUGGAGCAGGACCAGGCAGGAGCAGCCGUCCAGGAUGGUGCCCAGCUCCGGGCCACACAGAGUUGGCCACUUCAUUUAGCCCUAUAGACACAUAUGGGCCUAUGGAUUGAGUUGUUUAUAUACUCAGAAAUAUUUAUCCAGCCUCAACUGUGCAUAAAGCCGAAGGCAGGUUAUAGAAAUGAAAAAAGAAAUGGAAUCUGUUCUGAAGGGGCUCAUAGUUAGGGGAGUCACAGGUGUUUGGUACUAAUGACUCUAAUCAAAAUGACAAAGAUAAGUCUAGAGAAAUUAGGAGAAAAAGGGUUCUGAGGUGAAUAAUUAAUUAUUCUGUUGGAGUGUAGAGGUGGGGUGGCAAGCCUCUUGUGUGUAGUGUGAUAUAGGUGUCCAUAUCUCUAGGUGUAGGGGCAUUUAUAUGUGAGGUAUGUGCGUGUCUAUGGGAAGCGUGUUCCAUGUGAGUGGUGGUACACACAUACGUGUAUAUAGUGGGUGGUAGCGGUGGUGGAUAUGUGUGUGUGUGGUUGUCCUGGUGAUAUGUGGUGUAUAGGUAUAUAUUAGUCAUGGUGCUGGUAGAAAUGAGAUAGGAAAAUCUUCCUGCUGCUGCUGAUUGGAGAGGUAUUGGGGUCAGUGUAGCAGGAGGACCCAGCAGACAAAGGAGCCAGAGCAGCAAAGGCAGGGAGAGGGGAAAAUUCUAGAGGUUAUAUUUUAGGGGAAGUAAGCUGGGAAGGGUUUUUAAUUUGUCUGCUAUUUUCUGAUCAAGUCAAUAGCAGGGCCGGGGAUGUAGCUCAGUGGCACCACACCUGCCUGGCAAGUGCAAGGUCUUGAGUUCAAUUCCUGGUACCAGAGGGGGAAAAAACCAGAAACUAGACAAUGGCAGAAUUGUACCUCUUCAUUGUCCUGUUUCUUUUUUGUGUGUGUGUGACUGCGUGUUUUUUUUGGAACCAGGGAUCGAACUCUGGUCCUUCUGCUUGCAGGCCAGGCAGUGGGACCACUGAGCUAAAUCUCCAGCCCCUACAUGUUGGUUCUUAACAACCUAGUACAAAAAAAUUUAAGUAUCUCAUUGAUAGAGUUUAUGUUGACUAUAUAUUGAAAUAAUAGUAUUUAGGAUAUGUGGAGGUAAGAAUAAUUUAUUAAAAUCAAUUUUGUCUCUUCCCUUUUAGUCUUUAUAUGGGGCUACUAGAAAAUUUAAACAUAUACUUGCGACUCUCAUUAUAUUUAUAUUGGAUAGCACUUCUGCAGAAGAAUAAAAACAUGGGGUAUUUCCUACCUUGGUGCAAUGAUCAGUGAAUGUUGUCCUGUGAACUCCCCCAACCUCAGGAAGGCACAUGAGUGAUGUUUAAGGGCGUAGGAGUCGCCUGUCCCUCUCCACGCCAGGUAAGUGCAGACUGUUGGGAGGGUUGUUCACUGUGGGACUCGGAGUCCCGCUCUGAACUCUGGGAUACUGUGGGAAAGGUAUUUGGUGACCUGAGUGCAGAGUUUCUUGUUUAACCCUCUUGAGGAUUCCUUCCUCUUUGUUACAAUUUCUCCCUCAGGGAAAAAAGUCAGAUCUGGCAAUCAGAUGCAAUAAAUGUUGCUUGUGACCCUGGCUCCCUAGCCAUCUUUCCUUUUCCUUAUUUUAGCAAAGGAAAGGCAUAUAAAAUAUUUAGUGAAUUCUGAUUUUCAGUAUCUUCAUUGACCCAAAAGAGACAAGAGACCAUUGGAUUAAUGAUAAGAUGAUUAGACUCAUAGUACUGGGAAGGAUCUGGCGAAUUGGCCGGUUCCCCUCACGUGCCCACUCCUUAGACAGUGAGGCUUAGCUCAGUGGUUCCACUGCUUGCCUUGCAAACACAAGGUCCCGAUGUACCAAAAAAAGGAAAGAAAGAAAGAAAGAAAGAAAGAAAGAAAGAAAGAAAGAAAGAAAGAAAGAAAAGAAAGAAAGGAAGGGAGGCUCCGAGAGGUUCAGAGGGUGGCCUAGGGUAGCAGAGCCAACCAAGGUGGGCAGGCCCGGAACCCCACCUCCACUUCACCAUCUCUACACCACACUCCCCGUUCUUUUCAGAACGCUGCCUCCCUUGGCCCCUCCUGUUUGGUGUCUCAUCCUCUUCUGCUGCCUGAUUCCCUUUCAUAACAGGUGAUCUCUUCCACACUGCACUGUGAUGCCAUCUGUCAUGAGACUCUCACUAGAGUGUAGCAGAAGCCUGUGACAUGCUUUUAAACCUCCAGAACUGUAAGGAAAGUGGCAACAGAGAAUUUUAGUCCCUCCUGAGCCUGGUGUAGCCAAGGUACGUUCCUGGCAUAUGUGACUGUGAAGAGGUCACCGAAGAGUCUGGACACCAUGCACAACCCCAGUGCUCUGUGGCUGAUCAGACAAUCUGGACUUCUCAAGCAAUGACAGGUAAAGGAACCACCAGGGGGUCAGGGGCAAGCCAUCUGCUGUCAUUUUUAUUUGCAGUAAACCAGAGUCAGGACACACACAUACUGAGCAAGUCCAUGGCACUGUAUGCAGGCAGAGAGGCAGGCUUGAGCAGGCAACUGCCUUUAUAGAACAACAUAUCUGCAGCUGGG